AGUGAACGCUGGCGGUAGGCCUAACACAUGCAAGUCGAACGGCAGCACAGUAAGAGCUUGCUCUUACGGGUGGCGAGUGGCGGACGGGUGAGGAAUACAUCGGAAUCUACUUUUUCGUGGGGGAUAACGUAGGGAAACUUACGCUAAUACCGCAUACGACCUACGGGUGAAAGCAGGGGAUCUUCGGACCUUGCGCGAUUGAAUGAGCCGAUGUCGGAUUAGCUAGUUGGCGGGGUAAAGGCCCACCAAGGCGACGAUCCGUAGCUGGUCUGAGAGGAUGAUCGGCCACACUGGAGCUGAGACACGGUCCAGACUCCUACGGGAGGCAGCAGUGUGGAAUAUGGGACAAUGGGCGCAAGCCUGAUCCAGCCAUACCGAGUGGGUGAAGAAGGCCUUCGGGUUGUAAAGCCCUUUUGUUGGGAAAGAAAAGCAGCAGGUUAAUACCCCGCUGUUCUGACGGUACCCAAUGAAUAAGCACCGGCUAACUUCGUG
Molecule: ribosomal RNA, 492 nt
Filed under: uncultured bacterium
Lineage: Bacteria
Description: partial 16S ribosomal RNA
Rfam family: Bacterial small subunit ribosomal RNA
Source: RNAcentral